UUCUCAUUAGCACAGUGGUAGUUGCGUCGAGCUGUUACUUUCCAAUCAAGGAUCGACACUCGAAGGUCGUUGGUUCGACCCCAACAUGGGAAG
Molecule: non-coding RNA, 93 nt
Organism: Naganishia cerealis
Lineage: Eukaryota; Fungi; Basidiomycota; Tremellomycetes; Filobasidiales; Filobasidiaceae
Source: the annotation of a GenBank genome assembly